UACGUAGGUGGCAAGCGUUGUCCGGAUUUACUGGGCGUAAAGAGCGCGCAGGCGGUCGUUCAAGUCGCGUGUGAAAGCCCCCGGCUCAACUGGGGAGGGUCACGCGAUACUGAUCGACUGGAAGGCAGGAGAGGGUAGUGGAAUUCCCGGUGUAGUGGUGAAAUGCGUAGAUAUCAAGAGGAACACCAACGGCGAAGGCAGCUAGCUGGACGAGAUCCGACGCUCAGGCUCGAAAGUAUGGGGAGCAAAAAGG
Molecule: ribosomal RNA, 253 nt
Filed under: uncultured bacterium
Lineage: Bacteria
Description: partial 16S ribosomal RNA
Rfam family: Bacterial small subunit ribosomal RNA
Source: RNAcentral